Molecule: ribosomal RNA, 266 nt
Filed under: uncultured bacterium
Lineage: Bacteria
Description: partial 16S ribosomal RNA
Rfam family: Bacterial small subunit ribosomal RNA
Source: RNAcentral
AAUCUGCCUUCAGGAUGGGGACAACAAUUGGAAACGAUUGCUAAUACCCGAUAUGACGAAAGUUGAAAGAUUUAUCGCCUGGAGACGAGCUCGCGUCAGAUUAGCUAGAUGGUGUGGUAAAGGCGCACCAUGGCGACGAUCUGUAGCUGGUCUGAGAGGAUGAGCAGCCACACUGGGACUGAGACACGGCCCAGACUCCUACGGGAGGCAGCAGUGGGGAAUUUUCCGCAAUGGGCGCAAGCCUGACGGAGCAAUACCGCGUGAGG